RNAcentral lists this ribosomal RNA (253 nucleotides) under uncultured bacterium. RNAcentral's name for it is "partial 16S ribosomal RNA". It matches the Rfam family "Bacterial small subunit ribosomal RNA", at positions 524 to 776 of the family's 1533-position model. The record is from RNAcentral.
UACGAAGGGGGCUAGCGUUGCUCGGAAUGACUGGGCGUAAAGGGCGCGUAGGCGGUUUGUAUAGUCAGACGUGAAAUUCCUGGGCUUAACCUGGGGGCUGCGUUUGAUACGUGCAGACUUGAGUGAGGAAGAGGGUUGUGGAAUUCCCAGUGUAGAGGUGAAAUUCGUAGAUAUCGUAAGGAAGACCAGUGGCGAAGGCGAAUCUCUGGACAGUUACUGACACUGAGGCACGAAGGCCAGGGGAGCAAACGGG